GCUUCAUUAAAUUAUAUGAGGUAAAGCCUGCUCAAUGCGAAAGUAAAUAGCCGCAGUACUCUGACUGUGCAAAGGUAGCAUAAUAAAUUGGUCUUUAAUUGAGAUCUGGAAUGAACGGCUUGACAAGGAUUUAACUGUCUCAGUAUAAUUAAUUUGAAAUUAAAUUGUCUGUAAAAAUGCUGACAUGAGGGAGAGGGACGAGAAGACCCUAUAGAUCUUUGAAUAUUUUCUUAAUAGAUUAUCAAUAUUAAAGGAAUAUUUUAUUUGGGGAAAAUCCUGAAAUUUUUAAACUUCGGUUAAAAAAAAAUUAGAUGAUUAAUUUUUGAUCCAUUUAUGAAUGAAAAAAUGAAAAAGUUACCUUAGGGAUAACAGGACAAUGACUUCUUUGAAGAUCUUAUUUUUAGAAGCGUUUGUUACCUCGAUGUUGAAUUAAGUUAUCUCAUAAAAGGAGAAAUUUAUGAAGUUGGUCUGUUCGACCAUUAAAAAC
This 487-nucleotide ribosomal RNA is filed under the name Physconelloides aff. eurysema 3 JDW-2010. RNAcentral's name for it is "Physconelloides eurysema 3 JDW-2010 partial 16S ribosomal RNA". It matches the Rfam family "Bacterial large subunit ribosomal RNA", at positions 1833 to 2595 of the family's 2925-position model. Lineage: Eukaryota; Metazoa; Arthropoda; Insecta; Psocodea; Philopteridae. The record is from RNAcentral.